RNAcentral lists this ribosomal RNA (874 nucleotides) under uncultured organism. Its description in RNAcentral is "bacterial SSU rRNA". It matches the Rfam family "Bacterial small subunit ribosomal RNA", at positions 21 to 889 of the family's 1533-position model. The record is from RNAcentral.
GGCUCAGAGUGAACGCUAGCGGCGUGGUUAAGACAUGCAAGUCGAACGAUAAAGCCCAGCUUGCUGGGUUGAUUAGUGGCAUACGGGUGCGUAACACGUGAGCAACCUGCCUUGAAGUGGGGAAUAGCCCGGGGAAACCCGGAUUAAUACCGCAUGUGGUCCCUUUUCGCAUGAAAAGACGACUAAAGUUUGCAAUGACUCUUCAAGAGGGGCUCGCGGCCUAUCAGCUUGUUGGUGAGGUAAAGGCUCACCAAGGCUAAGACGGGUAGCUGGUCUGAGAGGAUGAUCAGCCACACUGGAACUGAGAUACGGUCCAGACACCUACGGGUGGCAGCAGUUUCGAAUCAUUCACAAUGGGGGAAACCCUGAUGGUGCAACGCCGCGUGGAGGAUGACGGCCUUCGGGUUGUAAACUCCUGUCACCAAGGAACAAACGGCAGGUUCAUAGCCUGUCCUGAGUUAACUUGGAGAGGAAGAGGUGGCUAACUCCGUGCCAGCAGCCGCGGUAAUACGGAGACCUCGAGCGUUACUCGGAUUCACUGGGCGUAAAGAGUAUGUAGGCUGUUCGGUAUGUCAGGUGUGAAAGCCCGGGGCUCAACCCCGGAAUUGCGCCUGAAACUACCGGACUCGAGGCCUGGAGAGGAGAGUGGAAUUCCUGGUGUAGCGGUGAAAUGCGUAGAUAUCAGGAGGAACACCAAUGGCGAAGGCAGCUCUCUGGACAGGUUCUGACGCUGAGAUACGAAAGCGUGGGUAGCGACAGGGAUUAGAUACCCCUGUAGUCCACGCCGUAAACGUAGUACACUAGGUUUCGGAGGGCCUACCCCUUCGGAGCUCAAGCUAACGCGAUAAGUGUACCGCCUGAGGACUACGGCCGC